UCGCCUGUUUAUCAAAAACAUGUCCUCAAGAAAAUAAUUUGAGGUCUAGCCUGCCCACUGAAUUUUUAGGGAUUUGAAGGGCCGCGGUAUUUUGACCGUGCAAAGGUAGCAUAAUCAUUAGUCUUUUAAUUGGAGGCUGGAAUGAAUGGUUGGACGAGGCAUUGACUGUCUCAGUGUAAAUGAUAUUAGAAUUUAACUUUUAAGUCAAAAGGCUUAAAUAGGUUUAAAGGACGAGAAGACCCUAUAGAGCUUUAUACUUAAUAUUUAUUAUAUAUUUAGUUGUAUUUUUGUAGUAUUUGCCAAAGUAUUUUGUUGGGGUGACAGGAAGAUAAAGUAAACUCUUUUUAAUUGUAGACCAUUGAUUUAUGAAUAGUUGAUCCAUUAUUAGUGAUUAUAAGACUAAGUUACCUUAGGGAUAACAGCGUAAUCUUUUUUGAGAGUUCUUAUCGACAAGAAGGGUUGCGACCUCGAUGUUGGAUUAAGGGUAAUUUUGGGUGUAGAUGUUCAAAGUUUAGGUCUGUUCGACCUUUAGAUCCUUACAU
This 542-nucleotide ribosomal RNA is filed under the name Salmoperla sylvanica. RNAcentral describes it as "partial 16S ribosomal RNA". It matches the Rfam family "Bacterial large subunit ribosomal RNA", at positions 1796 to 2601 of the family's 2925-position model. The record is from RNAcentral. Lineage: Eukaryota; Metazoa; Arthropoda; Insecta; Plecoptera; Perlodidae.